CAGCCGCCGCGGGAAUACGAAGGGGGCUAGCGUUGUUCGGAUUUACUGGGCGUAAAGGGCGCGUAGGCGGACUGAUAAGUCAGGGGUGAAAUCCCAAGGCUCAACCUUGGAACUGCCUUUGAUACUGUUUGUCUUGAGUUCGAGAGAGGUAAGUGGAACUGCGAGUGUAGAGGUGAAAUUCGUAGAUAUUCGCAAGAACACCAGUGGCGAAGGCGGCUUACUGGCUCGAAACUGACGCUGAGGCGCGAAAGCGUGGGGAGCGAACAGGAUUAGAUACCCCCGUAGUCCCUGUCUCUUAUAC
Molecule: ribosomal RNA, 301 nt
Filed under: uncultured bacterium
Lineage: Bacteria
Description: partial 16S ribosomal RNA
Rfam family: Bacterial small subunit ribosomal RNA
Source: RNAcentral